GCUGUGGUGUAGGCCAGCAGCAGUUGCUCUGGUUUGACCCCUGGCCAGGGAACUCCCUAUGCUGUGGAUGCAGCCCUAGAAAAGACAAAGAAAGAAAGAGAGAAAAGAAAUACACAUGGGGAGCCACAAAAUCUCAUUUUCCCCACUCGAUGCCCCCAAAUCUGCGUCUGCCCCUCUCCAUCUUCCCCUCCUCCCUCCAUGGGCAGAGUUCCAAGGCUACCGAGCAGUGGACUUGGACUCUAAAGGAAGGUCAUUAUCUGGAUGCGCCUGAUCCAAUCAGGACCUCUUCAAAGGGUGAGAGCCUUGCUGAGCUCAGAGACAUUCCCACGUGGGGGACGUUCUCUGUGUGACUGAAGAUACAGAGGCCCCAGGGUGAGUGGCCCUUAGGAGCUGAGGGCAACCCCAGGCUAAGAGCCAGUAACCUCAGUCCUACAGCCCCAAGAAGCCACGUCCUUUCUCUUCCAGCCUGAAUGAGCCUGGAAGAGCGUGUCUAGCUCCCCUUGGUCUCAGCCUUGGGUGACCUUGAACAGAGAGCCCAGGUUCUGCACAACCUGCUUGAAGUGUGUUCCUGACCCAGUCUCUCUGCCUCCACGUUUGCCCCUCUCGGCUCGUUCCCCACACACCUGCCAACGUGCUUCUGUCAGCAUCCACGCGGCGGCGGGUCCACGCGGCGGCGCCCCAGCUCCGUCCUCUUCAGAUCCUCCGUCUCCCCGCCAUCCUUCCUCCUCUGCCCAGGUCCCGGCCUCCUGUUCAGAAGGUCCUUCUCCCGCCCCUUUGCCAGCUGCUUCCUUCUGGCCGUGCAGCUGGCUCUUCAGAAAGGCCAGCCCUGUCCACUGGGCCAGCAGGGCUGCCCCCGGACCCUUGAUUUCAGCCCCUUGUGUUUCCAUCAUAGAACUUUCUGGAUUCAAAAGCAGUUCUUCGUGUUUUUGCCCCUUCCCUCCUGAGGGGCAAGGGCUCAGCCCAGUUUCUCCACUGUUCCUCUCCAGCAUUUACCACGAUGCCUCACACAUGGGGGGCCUCAAAUGAUAUUAGUUGAAUUAAAAAAAAAAAAGAAAAAGCGCAACCUCGGUUGUCACUUGCUGUCUUUUGUGCCUAGAUGUUCCAUUUGAUCUGCUCAAUAACCCCAUCACGUCGGCAUGGGGCUCAUGAAUAUUUAAAAGGUAAAGAAACUGGAUCAGAAUGAAGUGAAGUAAUCUACGGGGGUCAGGCUUUACGAAUACGCCAGAGGAGUCAGGACUUGCAGGCAGGCAUUCUGGCUCCAGGCCUGGCUACCCACCCUCCACACCCAGCCCGGUGAUGAGUCCACUCACAGGACCCUUGAUGGCCAUGCGUACUGAUGGCCUCGAAGUGGUUUGGGAAAACAGAGACCUCGCAAGGGAAAUGGCCUUAUGUUGAAAUGGGAGUGAAAUAGGGAAGAAGCGCCGAACUGAUUUUAACCUGCACCUGCCUCGUGGCCGGUAAUAUCCUAUUAGGGACACUCGCUGGCAUGGGGCUGCGUUGUAUCUGGAUGCUGUAUUAGCUGAGGUUCAGAACAGCAGCAGGAGGAUGCUGGACCAGCAUCAGGAGCUUUUAAAGAGGAAUGUGGCCACAGGGCCACAUCAAAGGCUGAUUGGACUUUGCUUCCCUCCUGGAGGGGGAGUGCUUGCACGGAGAGGGCUCCUUUCUCGUCCCUUUGUUUUCUGUUUCCAAUUUGUUCAAACCACAAGGGGCUUUGAAGUGCUUGACGCCAGCCCAGGGCAGGGCCUGGCGUGCACUGAAGAGCGAGAAGUUUCCCGUUUCACUGGAAACAGGCCAGUUUUCCAGAUGGUAAUUCAGAAGGACAUUUUGAAAAGCGGAGCUUGGGGCUCCUAUACAUGCCUUAUUUUUAGGGAAGUGACAGCAAGUCAAUUGAUGUACCGGUUGGAAAGUUAUAUAUAAACAUAUAAUUUUAGGCCUUGGGUCAGAGUCUUGUUCUGAAACGUACAAUGGAGUCAACAGAAAGAUGUUCCCUGGUGACUCAGUGGAUGAAGGACCUGGCAUUUGUCACUACUGUGGCUCCCGUUGCUGCUGCGGCGCGAGUUCAAUCCCUGGCCUGGGAGCUUCCACAUACCUCAGGGAAAUAUCUUCAUUUUCAUAUUUAGCUUGGAUGCCUGGGGCAGGGAGGGGCCCCCUCUUAGUCGUCGGCCACACGAGUGGGAGGCCGAGAAGGGAAGAGCGGAGCCACUCUUCCUGCCAGAGUGGACGUGGGCAAGGCUGGCCGCUCCCACGUGGGAUGGAGGAGGUUGCUAUGGUUUCCAUCAGCGAACUUCUCCAGACUGUGACAGGCAGGCCCUUUCCUGUCUGCGGCAAGGGCUCUGCGCGUGUGCAGAAGCCCUUCGAGCAGAGCGGGGAGGAGAGGCGGUUGGGAACACACCUGAUUUGGUGGCCUUCUGUGCCAGGACACCCCCCGCCGGCUGUUGGCCCUGCCUGCCCAUCUUGUCUCCUUUGCAGGAAGUUCAAUGGCUUAGGGUCAGGCGUGUGGGCUCUGCCCCUUUCUGGCCGUGGGACCUUGACAGAGUCACUUACACCCUAUAGAAUGGUGGGGAUGACCCCACCCCUAAUUCACAAAGGGCCUUGGGACCAGGGACAAUGACAUUCAAGACCCUUAGCCUAGCCAUGGGCCUUGAGCACAUGGUGCGGGGGGGGGGGGUGGAUGUCUGGAAUCAUUGCUUGUCUCACUUCUUACCCUCGUUGGCUACUCACAGGUUCUGAGACCUUGGGAGAGUCACUUUGGGACCAGGUUCUCCUGCGUGCUAAGCAAGAGGGCGUUGGUUCUGGAAACAUGGCAGGGCGCUGACAGGAAGCCAGGUAUUGGCGGGAGCUGGGGACCCAAAACCUGAUGGGACCCGGCUGCCUGCUGUGGGGACCAGCCUGUGUCCCUCUGAGAGCCAGGCCCCUACUCACUGAUGGCUUUUAGGUUUAGGUGGCUUGUAUUUGGCCUGGAGCCAGAGAGUGCUCAGUCCCUGCUGCUGUCUCGAUGGGGUCACCCUUGCGGCUACUGAGGCCUUGGCCUUCAGGACCCAGGUCUGGUCCCUGCCUCCUGACCGUCUUCGCAGGCCCACAGCAAUGGGGGUGGGGAGGCAGAGCGUGUUUCAUCCUGUUGUUGACAAAGGCCAAACAGUAUCAAAAUUUCUCAUUUUGGAAAGAGGUCCCGUCAACCCUGGGUGAUGUGUUUCCAGAUCCCUCCUCUUUUUUUUUGGCUGCACCCACAGCAUGUGAAGUUCCCGGGCCAAGGAUGGAGCCCAGCUGCCCCAGCCACUUCUCUGAGCAGCCCUGGGGAUGGAACUGGAUGAAACACUCUUGUCCCUGGGAAUCACAGUUUCUACGUGUGUAGAGUGUGAAGAUGCAGCUUCACCGGGCAGGCAGUGAACAUCCAUUUGUAAAGGAGGGACCCUCCUAACCGCUUCCUGUCCUGAUGGGGGCGCUCUGGCGGGCUUUGCUCCUGGGUGUUAACUGACCUUCACAUGGGUUGCAGGGCCCUUAACGGCCACAGCAGAACCAGCUGUAACCACCGCAGUGAUACUCGUUAAAACUGAGGGGAGGACACAGGCACCCCUAGCUGAGCAUCUGCAGGUCAUGUCGCACCCAGGUGAUCGGUGGGGCAACCUGCAGAUCGGCAAGGUCACUUGGGCCCCCCCGGGGUGGCCCAGGUCCCAGUUAAUGGAGCCAGAUGGUUGCGUCUCAUGCAGAAAGCAGAGACUGAUGGGUUCUGUUCAGAAGAGCACCUCCUAUGCUCCAGUCCUGGAUCAGAUGCAUUGGUGAUGCUGAAGAUGCAGGCAUGGAGCAUCCUUAAAGACCUCCAUCCUGGGCCCAGGCCCGGCCUUUGUGCUCUCCCCUCACCUGCUUGGGAGAGGGCAGAGGUGGCUGGGCAAGUCCCUUUGGAUCUAGGAAGUCACAGCAACUGGCACAGCUUAAGGACAGUGAGGAGUAGGGUCCCGUCCCUCUGCCCCUCCCCUCUCUCCAGGGCCUCUGGACACAUGGAGACUGGCAGGAAGCUGCUGAGCCUGCAGCUCCCGGGAGCGGGUGGGAGGGGGGGCAGCCUGUCUGGCAAGGAGAGGGGAGAAAAGCCAGCCAGCCCCUCAGCUGGGCUGGGUGGGUGUGGCGGUCCCCCUGGCUCUUCAGCUGUCAGGAAUUAAGGUUUUAUCCCAGCUCCAAGUAAUUGCGGGGCCUUCCUAGUCACAGCUUUCCCCUCCUAAUUCAGUGCUCAGUCGGGGCUCUUUCUCGCUUAGCUUCCAAAUUUACACCUCUCCUCUCUCCCGCACCCUACCUGGAGGUGUUGAUGGGUGCUUAGCAUCCCAAGGGGAGGGGCUGCUGCAUCUCAGCAUCAGCCCCUGGCUCUGCCUGCCGGCCAAUGGGCUCCUUCCCUACUUGGAGCAAGGGCCUCCUUCCUCUGCAUCCCCUUGUUUAAUUUGCAGCCCUAGUUCCAGGCAGUAACCUUGGGCAGUCGCCUCCAAGCCUCUCUGCCCUUCGGACAUUCUGCCUUCCCCACAGCACAGAGAGGGGACGUUUGCUUUGAAGCUUGUCAUCUCGGCCAUGGAAAUGCCAGUCCCCAACCCCAUCCCGAGAGCACGUGGUAAUGAAUUCCACGGAAACUCGUGCAGCAGUGAUCAAAUGUAAUUGCCUACCAUUUCACACCCACACUCCCCGCCCGUGUUCCCGCAGAAUUCCGGCGAGGGCCGGCCUCCCUUUCUGCAAUUUCAUUGCCACAGUCACCCGCUCCUGAGAUGCUUGAGCCUCACAGAUGCUUGAAUGAAAUGUGUGCUGAAUUUUCAUCAUGAUACCUCAAGCAGAGGCAGGCAGCGCUGCCAUUAAGAUUAAUUGGGGGGGGGGGGGCUCCCGCUUCGGAAUCACGGCAGGCUAGGAAUUAUGGUCCUGGUGCACUUUUCAAAGCUUCUUUCUUCCAGAACGUCUCCUGAUUUCUUUUUCGGCCGCUCUGCUAACGUUGACUCAAUUUUUCUGUCCACUCUGAACACCUCUGUGAGCAGAGCCAGGGUUAAAAACCAGUGCAUCGUGCUCCUGUCUUAAAUCACCUGCUGGAGUUUGGGUUUAGUUUACGCCUAAAGAUGGAGGGAUGCACUUUCCCUGGGGCUUUGUAGGGUUGACAGUAUUUUCUAGAUACUGUCCUAGAAAAUCCUGUUGCCUGGCGAGUUCCCGCUGUGGCUCAGUGGAAGCAAAUCUGACUGGUAACCAUGAGGAUGUGGAUUCAAUCCCUGCCCUCACUCAGUGGGUAAGGAUCUGGCGUUGCCGUGAGCUGUGUGCAGACGCGGCUCAAAUCUGGUGUUGUGGUGGCUGUGGUGUAGGCUAGCCUGGGAAUAUCCAUAUGCCGCAGGUGUGACACAAGAAAAAGAAAAAAAAAAAAAAGGAAAUUUUGUUGCCUGUUUUGAUCAACCCUGAGCUACAAAUAUAUAUAUAAUAUAUAAUAUAUAUUUACAUUAUAUUACAAUACCUUUAAUAAUACAUUAUAAGAUAUCAUGUAUAUAAUACAUAUUUACCUUCUUCAGUGAUUGGAAAAAUAAAAGUCUUGGGUGACAUGAAAGUUACAUGACAUUCACGUGUCAGUGCCCAUAUGUGCCCACAUAUAAAGGCCGAGAGGGCUGCAGCCAGGCCCAUGGCUUUCGUGUUGCCCACAGCUGCAUCCUUGCUGCAGUGGCAGCUGAGUUGCUGUGACAUUGACCGUAUGCCCUGCAGAGUCUACGAGCUUUGUCUUUGGCCCUUUGCAGAAAUGUCUGCUGAGCGCAGUAAGGCAGAGCAGGUGCACAGACGGGGACAUCUCUGGUCUCUCGCUGUCUCCAAAGGAUGGCUGUGCUGGUGCCACUCACACAGGGUCAGAGGCACAUCUCUGGUGAGGUCCAUGCGGUCUUUCUGGUUUAAGACCUUCGAUCUCCAAUGGCCCUGAAGGGUCCUUGAGUCAGGGUCAGACCCACGCCCAGGCUCCAUCUCAGGUCGGGGGAGCACAUGUCUGGGUCCAUAAUGAUGAAGUUGAGGGGCUUCCAACCCCGUGCUGAGCAUGCCGGCUGCUUAUGAUUUGCCAUUUAUCACUGAGCCGUGAAACUUCAGCAGAGUGAAAACUAGUUUGCCAAUGAAGUAAAGUGGAAAAUUAAUUUCAGUUUUCCUCCUGUUGCAAGUAAGUGCAGAAAUUGAAAAUGAAGUCUCUAAUCAUGGGUGGGUUUUCAUCUCAGGCUGAGUCUUACCCACUUAAAAAAUUGGAGGGGGGGAGCUUGCUUAUUUUAUUCUAAAGGUAAUUCCCUGGUGGUCUAGCAGUUAAGGAUCCAGAAGUUGUCAUUGCUUCCACAGUCAAAAAAAAAAAAAAAAAAAAAA
Molecule: long non-coding RNA, 6336 nt
Organism: Sus scrofa (pig)
Lineage: Eukaryota; Metazoa; Chordata; Mammalia; Artiodactyla; Suidae
Source: RefSeq, a predicted model, not a curated record